GUGGGUAUAGCUCAGUGGUAGAGCAUUUGACUGCAGAUCGAAAUGUCCCUAGUUCAAACCUGGGUGCCCCCU
Daphnia magna is the source of this 72-nucleotide transfer RNA. It matches the Rfam family "tRNA". Rfam says of the family: Transfer RNA (tRNA) molecules are approximately 80 nucleotides in length. The record is from Rfam. NCBI's taxonomy places the organism in Eukaryota, Metazoa, Arthropoda, Branchiopoda, Diplostraca, Daphniidae.